CACUCCUACGGGAGGCAGCAGUGGGGAAUUUUGGACAAUGGGCGAAAGCCUGAUCCAGCAAUGCCGCGUGUGUGAAGAAGGCCUUCGGGUUGUAAAGCACUUUUGUCCGGAAAGAAAUCCUUGGCUCUAAUACAGUCGGGGGAUGACGGUACCGGAAGAAUAAGCACCGGCUAACUACGUGCCAGCAGCCGCGGUAAUACGUAGGGUGCGAGCGUUAAUCGGGAUUACUGGGCGUAAAGCGUGCGCAGGCGGUUUGCUAAGACCGAUGUGAAAUCCCCGGGCUCAACCUGGGAACUGCAUUGGUGACUGGCAGGCUAGAGUAUGGCAGAGGGGGGUAGAAUUCCACGUGUAGCAGUGAAAUGCGUAGAGAUGUGGAGGAAUACCGAUGGCGAAGGCAGCCCCCUGGGCCAAUACUGACGCUCAUGCACGAAAGCGUGGGGAGCAAACAGGAUUAGAAACCCUAGUAGUCCCAUG
Molecule: ribosomal RNA, 474 nt
Filed under: uncultured organism
Description: partial 16S ribosomal RNA
Rfam family: Bacterial small subunit ribosomal RNA
Source: RNAcentral